GUCAACUACCCCUCCCUCAAUGGGAGGGGCUUGUAGGUAACUACAAGCCGAGUUGAUCAGGGUCAGUUACGGAGCAGUGUCGAUGCAAAGAAAUAACAACGUGAGCGAUAGGUUAUACAAGACCCAAUCCUGGACACUUCCUCAGUCCUGGACCCUGGA
This 159-nucleotide small RNA is filed under the name Candidatus Methylacidiphilum fumarolicum. RNAcentral describes it as "Methylacidiphilum fumariolicum HEARO". It matches the Rfam family "HNH endonuclease-associated RNA and ORF (HEARO) RNA", at positions 1 to 132 of the family's 211-position model. The record is from RNAcentral. Lineage: Bacteria; Pseudomonadati; Verrucomicrobiota; Methylacidiphilae; Methylacidiphilales; Methylacidiphilaceae.